GAUAUGACUCUCGAUAAUGGAUAUCUCAGCUCUCACCAUGAUGAAGAAUGUAGCGAAACGCGAUACUUAGUGUGAAUUGUAGAAUCUGAUGAAUCAUCAAGUUUUUGAAUAUAAGCUACCCCUGAGGCCUCAGUUGAGGGCACACUUGCUUGGGAAUCACAC
RNAcentral lists this ribosomal RNA (162 nucleotides) under Torreya grandis. RNAcentral's name for it is "5.8S ribosomal RNA". It matches the Rfam family "5.8S ribosomal RNA". Rfam says of the family: 5.8S ribosomal RNA (5.8S rRNA) is a component of the large subunit of the eukaryotic ribosome. It is transcribed by RNA polymerase I as part of the 45S precursor that also contains 18S and 28S rRNA. Lineage: Eukaryota; Viridiplantae; Streptophyta; Pinopsida; Cupressales; Taxaceae. The record is from RNAcentral.